ACGAAGACAAAAAAACCAUUCUUACAAUUAUUUGGCCUAGAGGGAAC
Molecule: unclassified non-coding RNA, 47 nt
Filed under: Vesicular stomatitis virus
Lineage: Riboviria; Orthornavirae; Negarnaviricota; Monjiviricetes; Mononegavirales; Rhabdoviridae
Source: RNAcentral